GUGUCAGCCGCCGCGGUAAUACGUAGGGUGCGAGCGUUAAUCGGAAUUACUGGGCGUAAAGCGUGCGCAGGCGGCCUGAUAAGUCAGAUGUGAAAUCCCUGAGCUCAACUUAGGAACUGCGUUUGAAACUACAAGACUAGAAUAUGUCAGAGGGGGGUAGAAUUCCACGUGUAGCAGUGAAAUGCGUAGAGAUGUGGAGGAAUACCAAUGGCGAAGGCAGCCCCCUGGGAUAAUAUUGACGCUCAUGCACGAAAGCGUGGGGAGCAAACAGGAUUAGAAACCCCAGUAGUCC
Molecule: ribosomal RNA, 292 nt
Filed under: uncultured Methylophilaceae bacterium
Lineage: Bacteria; Pseudomonadati; Pseudomonadota; Betaproteobacteria; Nitrosomonadales; Methylophilaceae
Description: partial 16S ribosomal RNA
Rfam family: Bacterial small subunit ribosomal RNA
Source: RNAcentral